This 253-nucleotide ribosomal RNA is filed under the name uncultured bacterium. RNAcentral's name for it is "partial 16S ribosomal RNA". It matches the Rfam family "Bacterial small subunit ribosomal RNA", at positions 524 to 776 of the family's 1533-position model. The record is from RNAcentral.
UACGUAGGGGGCUAGCGUUGUCCGGAAUCAUUGGGCGUAAAGCGCGUGUAGGCGGCCCGAUAAGUCCGCUGUGAAAGUCCAGGGCUCAACCCUGGGAUGCCGGUGGAUACUGUCGGGCUAGAGUCCGGAAGAGGCGAGUGGAAUUCCUGGUGUAGCGGUGAAAUGCGCAGAUAUCAGGAGGAACACCAAUGGCGAAGGCAGCUCGCUGGGAAGUGACUGACGCUGAGACGCGAAAGCGUGGGGAGCAAACAGG